AAACACUUUCUUAAAAUACUACAUACUACAAGCACUGUCUCUCAAGAGGUGAAAAUCUAAAGCAAAGAAACAAGUUGCAAGACCAGCAGCAGUGCUACCUCAUCAGACUGCAGCAGACAGCAAACAAGGAAGCGGGCACAUUUGCCAUUUGUAUGAAUAGCUUUGCAAGGCAACCCAACUCCUUUCAAAAAGAGCGUUACUUCAGCUUCUUCCAGAGUGGUGCAUGCUAGAAGAAGAACAUACCUCAGAAAAUAGCAUCUCACCUGAGUUAUAUGUUGAUACAUUAGCAGCAUUUUACAUUCAUGUCUUGCCUUUGGCAUAAUCUACUCUUGUACUUUCCAUUGUAAGACUGUGGUAUAGUUGGAUAGAUACCUGCGGACAAGUUACUCAUACCUUCAC
RNAcentral lists this long non-coding RNA (399 nucleotides) under Numida meleagris (helmeted guineafowl). RNAcentral describes it as "lncRNA (ENSNMEG00000020667.1)". The record is from RNAcentral. Lineage: Eukaryota; Metazoa; Chordata; Aves; Galliformes; Numididae.